AGGGCCCGCACGCAGGGCAGGGAUGGCCCUAGUAUAGGGGCCGGAGGGGCAUGGAAAAAAGGAGGUUCUUGAAUCAAAAUUCGGGGGGUAUACCCUGGAAAAGUUAGGGACCUCCUAGGCACUGAGCUUUCGAGUACUAGAGGUCUUUGUAACAGCUGGCGGGAACGGAAACUAGGAGCAGAAGGAGAUGAUGCAGAUAACCAAGCAGAGACUGACAGUGCCUGGGGGAGCCUUCGGGCGACACUCUUGGGCUGCUGUCUGGAGGUUCAGGCAGAUUUAAGGAAGGCAGAGAGAGACCUGUUACGGUGCACAGGACGUUCUAGUGACAAUCCCCAGGGGGAGCUAGACAAUGUGAAUGAAGUGAGCUCCUCUAUCGACCCUCGGAGAGUGCUGAUCACUGAGGCAGGGAUAGACCCUAGUUCUGACUCUAGAGAAAUACUAAGUACAGAAGACAAGGGGGACACUUGCGCAGAAGUCACCAAGGACCUUUGCCCAACAUAUCUGGAUGAGUCCGGGAGUGGGAUGGAUCCUAUUGUAGAAGAGCGCUGCGAGACAGAGCUAAGUAAGGAUGGUGGAAUCUGAGGCAGGUGCGGAGACCUGAUCGCUCUGGCUGUGGAUAAUUAUGAAGUCCCAGGGAUAAGACUCUAAGCUGGGGUCAUUCCUCUGGCCAGAAUUAUCACUGAGGCUCUGAAAGAGGGCCCAGCUCUUCACUACCACUCAGAAGCCCAAGCCAAGCGCUGGGCCCACUAGGAAGCGAGAGAAGAGGCGUCAGAGCGGCGCAGCUCCGCCUUUCCCUCCGGAUGGAAUGACUCUUCUCUGCAGCUGCAGAGAGUAAUACUCCAUUGUGUAGAUGUACCACAGUUUCUGCAUCCAUUCUUCAGUUGAGGGGCAUCUGGGUUGUUUCCAGCUUCUGGCUAUUACAAAUAAAGCUGCU
This is a long non-coding RNA of Meriones unguiculatus (Mongolian gerbil), 934 nucleotides long. RefSeq lists it as uncharacterized. The record is from RefSeq and is a predicted model, not a curated record. NCBI's taxonomy places the organism in Eukaryota, Metazoa, Chordata, Mammalia, Rodentia, Muridae. The transcript is spliced from 3 exons.